GGCGCAGCGGCGCCUCUGGGCCGAGCACGCGCACCAGCGGCCUCCGCGCAGGCUCCGUGCCCGCGCACGCGCCCUCGCGUCGCGCUCCUGGCGGAGACACCUGCGCUCGGGCCCGGCUCCGGGCGGUUCUCCCGGUGCCGUUCCACCGGGACUUCCGCGCUUCGGCGGCCUUUCUGACGAGCCGCGGCGCCCGGAGAUGUUCAGGUUGGAGCGACACUUCCCAGAGGGCAGCGGUCACGCCAGAUCUUCGGCUUCCAUUCCGUUUUCGCGCGGUUCUCCCUCUUCGCAAGUGAUGUCAUUCUGACUGCAGUCACCACUGUCGGGUUGUGAUUAAACUCUGAUGACCUAUGAGAGCACCAUGAUGGUCUUCCAGGUAUAGAGAAGCUGGUUUAUCUGAGACCCCACUGGCUUUCUGUUGGCUCCCAUAGGCUUGGAUGCUGCUGCCCCAUGCAUGACCGGUGAUGCUUGUCCUGGGUUGUCUGAAGGUGCUCGUUGCACUGCUGCCAGGGGUGCUGGGUUCAUAGGUGUCACUAUCCCUGCCAGGGACCUGGAGAACUAUAUGUAUCUCCAGCUGAGCUGGUGUUGGGGGGUGCCACCAGUGGGGGCUAGGUCACCAGAUCUGCUGUGUUUCCUGAAGCCUCUGGUCACAGGUUCCACCUGCCAGUGCUGGGGCAAAGGGGCUAUUUCUUCUGCCCCCACCCAGUUUGCUCACAGUUGUGUGGGCCAGGCCACCUCCACUGUGCCAGCAGUCACACAGGCCAGGCUGCCACCAUCCAUG
RNAcentral lists this long non-coding RNA (778 nucleotides) under Equus asinus (donkey). RNAcentral describes it as "lncRNA (ENSEASG00005032832.1)". Lineage: Eukaryota; Metazoa; Chordata; Mammalia; Perissodactyla; Equidae. The record is from RNAcentral.